Molecule: ribosomal RNA, 497 nt
Filed under: uncultured bacterium
Lineage: Bacteria
Description: partial 16S ribosomal RNA
Rfam family: Bacterial small subunit ribosomal RNA
Source: RNAcentral
GAUGAACGCUGGCGGCGUGCCUAAUACAUGCAAGUCGAGCGAACAGACGAGGAGCUUGCUCCUCUGACGUUAGCGGCGGACGGGUGAGUAACACGUGGAUAACCUACCUAUAAGACUGGGAUAACUUCGGGAAACCGGAGCUAAUACCGGAUAAUAUAUUGAACCGCAUGGUUCAAUAGUGAAAGACGGUUUUGCUGUCACUUAUAGAUGGAUCCGCGCCGCAUUAGCUAGUUGGUAAGGUAACGGCUUACCAAGGCGACGAUGCGUAGCCGACCUGAGAGGGUGAUCGGCCACACUGGAACUGAGACACGGUCCAGACUCCUACGGGAGGCAGCAGUAGGGAAUCUUCGGCAAUGGGCGAAAGCCUGACGGAGCAACGCCGCGUGAGUGAUGAAGGUCUUCGGAUCGUAAAGCUCUGUUAUUAGGGAAGAACAAAUGUGUAAGUAAAUAUGCACGUCUUGACGGUACCUAAUCAGAAAGCCACGGCUAACUACGUG